GACGAACGCUGGCGGCGUGCCUAAUACAUGCAAGUCGAGCGCAGGAAAUCGACGGAACCCUUCGGGGGGAAGUCGACGGAAUGAGCGGCGGACGGGUGAGUAACACGUAAAGAACCUGCCCUCAGGUCUGGGAUAACCACGAGAAAUCGGGGCUAAUACCGGAUGGGUCAUCGGACCGCAUGGUCCGAGGAUGAAAGGCGCUUCGGCGUCACCUGGGGUUGGCUUUGCGGUGCAUUAGCUAGUUGGUGGGGUAAUGGCCCACCAAGGCGACGAUGCAUAGCCGACCUGAGAGGGCGAUCGGCCACACUGGGACUGAGACACGGCCCAGACUCCUACGGGAGGCAGCAGUAGGGAAUCUUCCACAAUGGACGAAAGUCUGAUGGAGCAACGCCGCGUGAACGAUGAAGGCCUUCGGGUCGUAAAGUUCUGUUGUAAGGGAAGAACAAGUGCCGCAGGCAAUGGCGGCACCUUGACGGUACCUUGCGAGAAAGCCACGGCUAACUACGUGCCAGCCGCCGCGGUAA
Molecule: ribosomal RNA, 524 nt
Filed under: uncultured bacterium
Lineage: Bacteria
Description: partial 16S ribosomal RNA
Rfam family: Bacterial small subunit ribosomal RNA
Source: RNAcentral